CAGUAGCCGCGGUAAUACGUAGGUGGCGAGCGUUGUCCGGAAUUAUUGGGCGUAAAGGGCUCGCAGGCGGUUUCUUAAGUCUGAUGUGAAAGCCCCCGGCUCAACCGGGGAGGGUCAUUGGAAACUGGGAAACUUGAGUGCAGAAGAGGAGAGUGGAAUUCCACGCGUAGCGGUGAAAUGCGUAGAGAUGUGGAGGAACACCAGUGGCGAAGGCGACUCUCUGGUCUGUAACUGACGCUGAGGAGCGAAAGCGUGGGGAGCGAACAGGAUUAGAUACCCCAGUAGUCCCUGUCUCUUAUAC
RNAcentral lists this ribosomal RNA (301 nucleotides) under uncultured bacterium. RNAcentral's name for it is "partial 16S ribosomal RNA". It matches the Rfam family "Bacterial small subunit ribosomal RNA", at positions 509 to 807 of the family's 1533-position model. The record is from RNAcentral.